CAACUACUCCCUCUGUCCCAAAUUUCUUGUCUUAGAUUUUUCUAGAUACAGACGUAUCUUGAUACAUCCGUAUCUAGACAAAUCUAAGACAAGAAUUUUGGGACGGAGGGAGUACUUU
This is a non-coding RNA of Triticum aestivum (bread wheat), 118 nucleotides long. The record is from Rfam. Lineage: Eukaryota; Viridiplantae; Streptophyta; Magnoliopsida; Poales; Poaceae.